Molecule: ribosomal RNA, 628 nt
Filed under: uncultured Russulaceae
Lineage: Eukaryota; Fungi; Basidiomycota; Agaricomycetes; Russulales; Russulaceae
Description: LSU rRNA
Rfam family: Eukaryotic large subunit ribosomal RNA
Source: RNAcentral
UAAGCGGAGGAAAAGAAACUAACAAGGAUUCCCCUAGUAACUGCGAGUGAAGCGGGAAAAGCUCAAAUUUAAAAUCUGGUGGUCUUUGNNCAUNCGAGUUGUAAUUUAGAGAAGCGACUUCCGCGCUGGACCGUGCACAAGUCUCCUGGAAUGGAGCGUCAUAGAGGGUGAGAAUCCCGUCUUUGGCACGGACACGCCAGGGCUUUUGUGAUGCGCUCUCGAAGAGUCGAGUUGUUUGGGAAUGCAGCUCAAAAUGGGUGGUGAACUCCAUCUAAAGCUAAAUAUUGGCGAGAGACCGAUAGCGAACAAGUACCGUGAGGGAAAGAUGAAAAGCACUUUGGAAAGAGAGUGAAACAGUACGUGAAAUUGUUGAAAGGGAAACGCUUGAAGUCAGUCGCGUCGACCGAGACUCAGCCUUGCCUUGGCUUGGUGUACUUCUCGGCCGACGGGUCAGCAUCAAUUUUGCCCCUUGGAUAAUGGCGAGAGAAAUGUGACACCUUUACGGUGUGUUAUAGUCUCUUGUCGCAUGCAAGGGUCGGGAUUGAGGAACUCAGCACGCGCCUUUGGGUGUCGGGGCUUUUGCCCACGAUACGUGCUUAGGAUGUUGGCGUAAUGGCUUUAAACGACC